This is a long non-coding RNA of Pseudopipra pipra, 1333 nucleotides long. RefSeq lists it as uncharacterized. The record is from RefSeq and is a predicted model, not a curated record. The transcript is spliced from 2 exons. NCBI's taxonomy places the organism in Eukaryota, Metazoa, Chordata, Aves, Passeriformes, Pipridae.
CCGAGCAGGGCUCCCCGCUGUCUCUGCGCUGAUCCCGUGUCCCGCAAGCCUCGCACCCGCCGGGCAGCCUGGACGGGGACCCUGCGCUCCGCACAUCCCAGUGGAACCUACCGUGGUGCCACCGCUGUCGAGAUCCCCCCGGGUGAGGAGGUCAGCCCCACAGCUCCGCCGGUGACUGACUGCAACUCGAAUUAAAGUAUUACAACAAACAGGAAGUGUUUUCCUGCCAUCCCAACAGUUUAACUGGAGAAUUUGCCCCCAGCACAGGCAGGAUCAGAAAUUCUGAUACAAUGACCUGGUAUGAAGUCACUCUCCUCAGUGCUGUGUUCAUGGCAUUGCCACCCCGCUCUUGCUGCAAGUCACCUUUAGGUACUGAGACAUUGCCAAAGAGAUGGGCCAGGGGACUGUGACAUUUCCACAUUUCCUUUUUUGACAAAAUCAGGACUAUCCCCAGUUGGCAAAUACUAUGAUCUCCGAGCAAUGUGCUGACUGUUUUGUCUGUAGGAGAUAUCACAACCAAACUGCCCUUGCAAGGGAUACGUGGGAGCUGCAAGAAAUGGCAACAGCCAUUCAGAAGGGCUUUCAGCAAGUGGCUGCCAAAUUACGAAACACUCUGGAUUCCAGCAAUGCACAUCUCUGCUGUCUGCUGCACUCGGAGUAUCUGGGAAGAGGAGGAGGAAAACAAGCUUAUCAUUUAUAAAAUUAUUGCUGGUUUUGUGGUUGUGAGGCUCUCUGCAGUGUACAAGAAUAACUUGUUUGUGACAUCAGUAAAACAAGGAUGUGCAACCGAGAGCGUGUUGUCCUCUCCAUGGAUACCACACUCACGUUUUCUCUAACACUGGGUUUUAUCUGAAGAUCAAGUCUCAGGACUUGGGAAGCUGCAUGCCACGGGGACACAACUUGAGACCUGGGCAUCAUGAUGGUUGUAGUCUAGUUCUGAUUUCUCCAGCCACGUGGGGUGACACCGAGAUAAUGCACUGACUCAGCACAGACCCACUGCAAGUGCACGGUGCUUUUUCCCAGAUUGAAAGGUUUUGGCAAAUAACUUUCUAGCUAUUUCUGGAAACUGGAAAGGUCCAUGAGAGAAAUGAGUGUAUGUUCAAGCACAUGUUGAUCCUAGAGACCAAAAAUGGCAAAAAAAUGGGGUAUAACUAUGCUUUCUUCAGCAUAGGGAAAGAUUUGAUCCCUCAUCUGUAAUUAGAAAAGUCACAACUUCUCUUCUUGCUUCUUUUCCAACAAAACAAGGGGAAUUAUGUCCUCCAUGACAUGCUUUUCCCUCUUAAGUGUAGCUAAUACCACUCUAGUGAAUAAAUCAGCCUUACUCAAAACUAAA